This 200-nucleotide non-coding RNA is filed under the name Dichanthelium oligosanthes. Its description in RNAcentral is "Bacterial large subunit ribosomal RNA". It matches the Rfam family "Bacterial large subunit ribosomal RNA", at positions 635 to 801 of the family's 2925-position model. Lineage: Eukaryota; Viridiplantae; Streptophyta; Magnoliopsida; Poales; Poaceae. The record is from Rfam by way of RNAcentral.
CAUAGGCCUGUCUCUUAUACACAUCUAGAGUAGCGAAAGCGAGUCUUCAUAGGGCGAUUGUCACUGCUUAUGGACCCGAACCUGGGUGAUCUAUCCAUGACCAGGAUGAAGCUUGGAUGAAACUAAGCAGAGGUCCGAACCGACUGAUGUUGAAGAAUCAGCGGGCCUCGGCCAGCCCUGCCUGGACCGGAUGCAUCAGG